CAAGACCAAGUCGUAAUAGCAACUUCCCUUCCUCAGCUGCCUAAACUUUUUUUUUCCCUUGUAGCUGGAGAGAAGUGUCACAUUUUGCUCACUCUCAACCUUCCUUGCCCACCCCCUUCCCGGAGAACCUGUGCAGUGUGUAGGGGGUGCUGUGAGCCACCUCCAGCCUCGGGUGGCUGCUAAAGUAACUUUCAACUCCUCUCUUCUUAACACUAUGAAGUGUCUCGGGAAGCGCAGGGGCCAGGCAGCUGCUUUCCUGCCUCUUUGCUGGCUCUUUUUGAAGAUUCUGCAACCGGGGCACAGCCACCUUUAUAACAACCGCUAUGCUGGUGAUAAAGUGAUAAGAUUUAUUCCCAAAACAGAAGAGGAAGCAUAUGCACUGAAGAAAAUAUCCUAUCAACUUAAGGUGGACCUGUGGCAGCCCAGCAGUAUCUCCUAUGUAUCAGAGGGAACAGUUACUGAUGUCCAUAUCCCCCAAAAUGGUUCCCGAGCCCUGUUAGCCUUCUUACAGGAAGCCAACAUCCAGUACAAGGUCCUCAUAGAAGAUCUUCAGAAAACACUGGAGAAGGGAGGCAGCUUGCACACCCAGAGAAACCGAAGAUCCCUCUCUGGAUAUAAUUAUGAAGUUUAUCACUCCUUAGAAGAAAUUCAAAAUUGGAUGCAUCAUCUGAAUAAAACUCACUCAGGCCUCAUUCACAUGUUCUCUAUUGGAAGAUCAUAUGAGGGAAGAUCUCUUUUUAUUUUAAAGCUGGGCAGACGAUCACGACUCAAAAGAGCUGUUUGGAUAGACUGUGGUAUUCAUGCAAGAGAAUGGAUUGGUCCUGCCUUUUGUCAGUGGUUUGUAAAAGAAGCUCUUCUAACAUAUAAGAGUGACCCAGCCAUGAGAAAAAUGUUGAAUCAUCUAUAUUUCUAUAUCAUGCCUGUGUUUAACGUCGAUGGAUACCAUUUUAGUUGGACCAAUGAUCGAUUUUGGAGAAAAACAAGGUCAAGGAACUCAAGGUUUCGCUGCCGUGGAGUGGAUGCCAAUAGAAACUGGAAAGUGAAGUGGUGUGGUAAGUUUGGGACCAACUGGGAUCCAGAUCCAAAGGUUUCUGCAGGUUUUACUCUGCAAAAUAUGAGUCCAGAGGACUCUCAUAGGAGACUCAUGUUUUUCUGUAUGUGAAAACCUGGUAGAGAAAGGUACAGAUACGUACAUGACAGCUGUAAUUGGCAAAAGAAAAUGAAAGGAUUCUUUUUUAAUAUAUAAAAAUCAAGGAUUUUAAAUAUGUCAAUUCGGUCCUGAAAACUGAAAAUUUAAAUACAUAUGUAAAAGCAGCAAACUGAGGAAUAUUUGUCAUUCCCCAAAUUAAAACAUGAACGGUGGUGUAGUAUAAUUCUGGUUAAAUCUUUUUAUCCUUUUCAUACAAGCACCACUGAUGCUGCAUUCGUCUGUCUGUCGUGGUCAGAGCUGUCACGACCUUGUCUAUAUUCUACCACUCUGCUGGUCAUACGUGGAUUGACCAUGCACAUUGGGAAUGUAUUUCUGCUGCGUUCCAUGU
This 1538-nucleotide small RNA is filed under the name Pan troglodytes (chimpanzee). Its description in RNAcentral is "retained intron". Lineage: Eukaryota; Metazoa; Chordata; Mammalia; Primates; Hominidae. The record is from RNAcentral.